Molecule: ribosomal RNA, 253 nt
Filed under: uncultured bacterium
Lineage: Bacteria
Description: partial 16S ribosomal RNA
Rfam family: Bacterial small subunit ribosomal RNA
Source: RNAcentral
UACGGGGGGGGCAAGCGUUGUUCGGAAUUACUGGGCGUAAAGGGCUCGUAGGCGGCCAACUAAGUCAGACGUGAAAUCCCUCGGCUUAACCGGGGAACUGCGUCUGAUACUGGAUGGCUUGAGAUUGGGAGAGGGAUGCGGAAUUCCAGGUGUAGCGGUGAAAUGCGUAGAUAUCGGGAGGAACACCGGUGGCGAAGGCGGUUCGCUGGGCCUUGCCUGACGCUGAGGAGCGAAAGCGUGGGGAGCGAACAGG